Molecule: ribosomal RNA, 396 nt
Filed under: uncultured fungus
Lineage: Eukaryota; Fungi
Description: eukaryotic LSU rRNA
Rfam family: Eukaryotic large subunit ribosomal RNA
Source: RNAcentral
UUGACCUCAAAUCAGGUAGGACUACCCGCUGAACUUAAGCAUAUCAAUAAGCGGAGGAAAAGAAACUAACAAGGAUUCCCUUAGUAACUGCGAGUGAAGUGGGAAAAGCUCAAAUUUAAAAUCUGGCAGUCAUUUGGCUGUCCGAGUUGUAAUCUAGAGAAGUGUUGCCCGUGCUGGACCAUGUACAAGUCUCCUGGAAUGGAGCAUCACAGAGGGUGAGAAUCCUGUCUUUGACAUGGACUGCCAGUGCUUUUGUGGUAUGCUCUCAAAGAGUCGAGUUGUUUGGGAAUGCAGCUCAAAAUGGGUGGUAAAUGCCAUCUAAAGCUAAAUAUUGGCGAGAGACCGAUAGUGAACCAGUACCGUGAGGGAAAGAUGAAAAGAACUUUGGGAAGAGAG